UCCCUUUCCUCUGUCAUCUUCUCACCUGUGAUCUGAGGACAGCUGAAUAGUGGUGCUUCCCUGCCACAGGUCAAGCCAAUCCAAGCUUGAAGCAAGGCUGCUAUGACAAGACUCUGUACUACUACAGGUUCUCAGCUGGUAUUUUUUCAGCUGGGAAAUUUAGUACUAAUCUUCCUCAGAGGGGCUAAGAUGAGUGUCAAGGAUUACUACUCUGCAGGAGCAGUUUCACUAAGAUUCACCCAGAAGGCUGAAAACACUUGUUUAAAAGCCACAGAAUGAGAGACAAUAUUUACAAACUGAAUAAAACCAAAAAAUUCAUUCAAUAAAUGUGAUUUUAUUUGUCAAUUUGGUUUUCUGAUUAGAUUUGUUUUGCAUUUCUUCCACUGAAGACAAAAUACAAACAAUACAGCAAUGUCUGCAAGGAACAUUCAUAAGAUAUCAGGUUUGAUAAAUAUAUAUUUGCACAAGGUGGCUUCAGGAACAAGUCAGAUGAUAAACAGCUUGAAAAAAAAGUCACUACUGUUCAGUGCUUAAGCUCUGAUUUAAAGAGGCAGCCUAAUGGCAAAUAAAACUACCCCAUGGAGACAAUCUAAGGAAGCUACCUUCUGCUUCAAAACACAACUAAGAGGACCUGAAAGUUCUGUUAGUCACAUGCUAGUAGCCAGCACAGACUAACUGGCACUGUAAUUUUGCAAGGAAGCUGUCUCAAUUUUAACAAAACAAAAACCAUAGCAAGGCAGCUUAAGCACACGUCUGGCAACCUAGAUCAAGUUGCCAGACAGAAACUAAGUCCUAGCUAUGAUUUUAUCAGCAGCGUAUGGAAGUUAGUCUGUCUAGCAAAGCAAGCAUAUAGGCUGCUGCACAAAACUUACACCUUCCUAGAACAAGACUAAACCUAUAGUUCUGCAAUAAUUGUGCAUUACAAAAUUAGAGCUUCCUGAAGACUGACAUCAAUGGCACCAAGAUCCUGGGUUUCUUAAGUCUUGGUAAGUAGCAACUGCUGACACCAAAGGAUUAUUUUAGUAACUAAGGCAAGUUCCCCCCCAUCAGUUUUUCCGACAUAUCUGAGGCCAGAGAUUUUAAAACAAUUAA
Chelonia mydas (Green sea turtle) is the source of this 1092-nucleotide long non-coding RNA. RefSeq lists it as uncharacterized. NCBI's taxonomy places the organism in Eukaryota, Metazoa, Chordata, Testudines, Cheloniidae. The record is from RefSeq and is a predicted model, not a curated record. The transcript has 2 exons.